Molecule: ribosomal RNA, 697 nt
Filed under: uncultured bacterium
Lineage: Bacteria
Description: bacterial SSU rRNA
Rfam family: Bacterial small subunit ribosomal RNA
Source: RNAcentral
UGCAGUCGACGGCAGCGCGCGGCAACCUGGCGGCGAGUGGCGAACGGGUGAGUAAUACAUCGGAACGUACCCAGAAGUGGGGGAUAACGUAGCGAAAGUUACGCUAAUACCGCAUACGUUCUACGGAAGAAAGUGGGGGAUCGCAAGACCUCAUGCUUUUGGAGCGGCCGAUGUCUGAUUAGCUAGUUGGUGAGGUAAAGGCUCACCAAGGCGACGAUCAGUAGCUGGUCUGAGAGGACGACCAGCCACACUGGGACUGAGACACGGCCCAGACUCCUACGGGAGGCAGCAGUGGGGAAUUUUGGACAAUGGGGGCAACCCUGAUCCAGCAAUGCCGCGUGAGUGAAGAAGGCCUUCGGGUUGUAAAGCUCUUUUGUCAGGGAAGAAAAGGUGAGGGCUAAUAUCCUUCAUCAAUGACGGUACCUGAAGAAUAAGCACCGGCUAACUACGUGCCAGCAGCCGCGGUAAUACGUAGGGUGCAAGCGUUAAUCGGAAUUACUGGGCGUAAAGCGUGCGCAGGCGGUUUUGUAAGACUGUCGUGAAAUCCCCGGGCUUAACCUGGGAAUGGCGAUGGUGACUGCAAGGCUAGAGUUUGGCAGAGGGGGGUAGAAUUCCACGUGUAGCAGUGAAAUGCGUAGAGAUGUGGAGGAACACCGAUGGCGAAGGCAGCCCCCUGGGUCAAGACUGACGCUCAUGC